AUUAAGUGCAGUUUUACACUAUUCAUGUUAAACAUUUGACUGUUCAUCUUAUUUAAAAUAUUUUUAUGAUUAAUAUUUUUAUUGUUAUUAGAUAAUAAAACAUGAAUAGUACUUUAUGUGUGACUAUUUUUUUAAUUUUUUUAUAAACUUUUCGAAUAAGACAGACGGUUAAAUGUUGGACACGGAUUUCUACGGCUGCAUUUAUU
Oryza glaberrima (African rice) is the source of this 206-nucleotide non-coding RNA. The record is from Rfam. NCBI's taxonomy places the organism in Eukaryota, Viridiplantae, Streptophyta, Magnoliopsida, Poales, Poaceae.